RNAcentral lists this ribosomal RNA (253 nucleotides) under uncultured bacterium. RNAcentral describes it as "partial 16S ribosomal RNA". It matches the Rfam family "Bacterial small subunit ribosomal RNA", at positions 524 to 776 of the family's 1533-position model. The record is from RNAcentral.
GACAGAGGAGCCAAGCGUUGUCCGGAUUGACUGGGCGUAAAGCGCACGCAGGCGGAUGCGCGCGUGGGGUGUGAAAUCUGGCCGCUUAACGGCCAGGCGCCAUCCCAUACGGCGCGUCUGGAGUGAUGCAGAGGUCGAUGGAAUUGCCGGUGUAGUGGUGAAAUGCGCAGAUAUCAGGAGGAACACCGGUGGCGAAGGCGGGUCUCUGGGCCGUAACUGACGCUGAGGAGCGAAAGCGUGGGGAGCGAACAGG